Molecule: ribosomal RNA, 1398 nt
Filed under: Curtobacterium sp. Hz10
Lineage: Bacteria; Bacillati; Actinomycetota; Actinomycetes; Micrococcales; Microbacteriaceae
Description: bacterial SSU rRNA
Rfam family: Bacterial small subunit ribosomal RNA
Source: RNAcentral
GCUUACACAUGCAAGUCGAACGAUGAUGCCCAGCUUGCUGGGUGGAUUAGUGGCGAACGGGUGAGUAACACGUGAGUAACCUGCCCCUGACUCUGGGAUAAGCGUUGGAAACGACGUCUAAUACUGGAUAUGAUCACUGGCCGCAUGGUCUGGUGGUGGAAAGAUUUUUUGGUUGGGGAUGGACUCGCGGCCUAUCAGCUUGUUGGUGAGGUAAUGGCUCACCAAGGCGACGACGGGUAGCCGGCCUGAGAGGGUGACCGGCCACACUGGGACUGAGACACGGCCCAGACUCCUACGGGAGGCAGCAGUGGGGAAUAUUGCACAAUGGGCGAAAGCCUGAUGCAGCAACGCCGCGUGAGGGAUGACGGCCUUCGGGUUGUAAACCUCUUUUAGUAGGGAAGAAGCGAAAGUGACGGUACCUGCAGAAAAAGCACCGGCUAACUACGUGCCAGCAGCCGCGGUAAUACGUAGGGUGCAAGCGUUGUCCGGAAUUAUUGGGCGUAAAGAGCUCGUAGGCGGUUUGUCGCGUCUGCUGUGAAAUCCCGAGGCUCAACCUCGGGCUUGCAGUGGGUACGGGCAGACUAGAGUGCGGUAGGGGAGAUUGGAAUUCCUGGUGUAGCGGUGGAAUGCGCAGAUAUCAGGAGGAACACCGAUGGCGAAGGCAGAUCUCUGGGCCGUAACUGACGCUGAGGAGCGAAAGCAUGGGGAGCGAACAGGAUUAGAUACCCUGGUAGUCCAUGCCGUAAACGUUGGGCGCUAGAUGUAGGGACCUUUCCACGGUUUCUGUGUCGUAGCUAACGCAUUAAGCGCCCCGCCUGGGGAGUACGGCCGCAAGGCUAAAACUCAAAGGAAUUGACGGGGGCCCGCACAAGCGGCGGAGCAUGCGGAUUAAUUCGAUGCAACGCGAAGAACCUUACCAAGGCUUGACAUACACCGGAAACGGCCAGAGAUGGUCGCCCCCUUGUGGUCGGUGUACAGGUGGUGCAUGGUUGUCGUCAGCUCGUGUCGUGAGAUGUUGGGUUAAGUCCCGCAACGAGCGCAACCCUCGUUCUAUGUUGCCAGCGGGUUAUGCCGGGGACUCAUAGGAGACUGCCGGGGUCAACUCGGAGGAAGGUGGGGAUGACGUCAAAUCAUCAUGCCCCUUAUGUCUUGGGCUUCACGCAUGCUACAAUGGCCGGUACAAAGGGCUGCGAUACCGUAAGGUGGAGCGAAUCCCAAAAAGCCGGUCUCAGUUCGGAUUGAGGUCUGCAACUCGACCUCAUGAAGUCGGAGUCGCUAGUAAUCGCAGAUCAGCAACGCUGCGGUGAAUACGUUCCCGGGCCUUGUACACACCGCCCGUCAAGUCAUGAAAGUCGGUAACACCCGAAGCCGGUGGCCUAACCCUUGUGGAAGGAGCCU